Molecule: ribosomal RNA, 254 nt
Filed under: uncultured bacterium
Lineage: Bacteria
Description: partial 16S ribosomal RNA
Rfam family: Bacterial small subunit ribosomal RNA
Source: RNAcentral
UACGUAGGGCGCGAGCGUUGUCCGGAAUUAUUGGGCGUAAAGAGCUCGUAGGCGGCCUGUUGCGUCCGCUGUGAAAUCCCGGGGCUCAACCCUGGGCGUGCAGUGGAUACGGGCAGGCUGGAGGCAGGCAGGGGAGAACGGAAUUCCCGGUGUAGCGGUGAAAUGCGCAGAUAUCGGGAGGAACACCGGUGGCGAAGGCGGUCUGCUGGGCAGUUUCUGACACUGAGGCGCGACAGCGUGGGGAGCAAACGGGG